Molecule: long non-coding RNA, 144 nt
Organism: Alosa sapidissima (American shad)
Lineage: Eukaryota; Metazoa; Chordata; Actinopteri; Clupeiformes; Clupeidae
Exons: 3
Source: RefSeq, a predicted model, not a curated record
GGCUAACAAAAUUUGUCUAAAAAAUAAAGGCAUGUGCUUACGCAGCCUAUAAGUAAAGAAAAGACCCCUGCCAUAAUUUGAGGAUUUACAGUAGGCCUAGAUGAGUAGGCCUAAAUAAUAGGACUACAGCUAUUUUAUAACUCA